RNAcentral lists this long non-coding RNA (683 nucleotides) under Trifolium pratense (red clover). Its description in RNAcentral is "long non-coding RNA (TPRA_LNC003050)". The record is from RNAcentral. Lineage: Eukaryota; Viridiplantae; Streptophyta; Magnoliopsida; Fabales; Fabaceae.
UUUUUAGGAGAGCACGAAAUCUCUACCCUAUAAAAAAGAUUAAUUCAUAUUCUAUUUCUUACAUGCAAAGAGAAAAAGAUAUGGCUGAAACUCUCAAAUUUGUUUAUACUAUGAUUCUAUUUCUUUUCUUAUUUUUUGUCGCAACGGAAUCCGGUACAGGUAAGCCAUUUGUUCAUCUUUUCAAUUUUCCUUCUUUAUUUUGUACUUCUUACAUAAUCUCUUAUCAUUUUAAUAACAUUAUUUUAUUAUUUUUUUUUAUUACAGAACUUAUAGAAUGUGAAAAAGAUAGUGAUUGUCCAAUAUCUUGGCACGAGUUUUUUUGGUUUAGGUGCUAUCGUAAUAAAUGUAAAUGGGUUCAUAGGUUUCCCUGAUUCUGAAUUUCAUAUCCAGGAGAGAAUAAGACUGUGUGCUAUCAAAAUAAAUGUGUAGUAUAUGUUAUGAUAGAAUAUUUCAUUAGUUGUCAUUUAUUUAUUGUAAUGCCAUCCAAUAAAGUUUUUCUUUCCCUAAUUUCAUGUACCAUGUAUGUAUAUUGUGUGUAAAAAAAUAAAUAAAGAACCUUGUGUAUAAUUUUGUAUUCUAAGAUGAUGGUAUGGUUGCAUAAAAAUACAAGUGAUGGUAAGGCAACAAAGAGUGUUAUUUAAAUUAUAUUCUUCUCUUUUGAUUUUGGUGUAACUAGAAUUAGG